GAUGAACGCUGGCGGCGUGCUUAACACAUGCAAGUCGAACGGAAAGGCCCAAGCUUGCUUGGGUACUCGAGUGGCGAACGGGUGAGUAACACGUGGGUGAUCUGCCCUGCACUUCGGGAUAAGCCUGGGAAACUGGGUCUAAUACCGGAUAGGACCACUUCUUGGAUGUUGUGGUGGAAAGUUUUUUCGGUGUGGGAUGAGCUCGCGGCCUAUCAGCUUGUUGGUGGGGUAAUGGCCUACCAAGGCGUCGACGGGUAGCCGGCCUGAGAGGGUGUACGGCGACAUUGGGACUGAGAUACGGCCCAGACUCCUACGGGAGGCAGCAGUGGGGAAUAUUGCACAAUGGGCGCAAGCCUGAUGCAGCGACGCCGCGUGGGGGAUGACGGCCUUCGGGUUGUAAACGCCGUUCGCUAGGGACGAAGCGUUUUGUGACGGUACCUGGAGAAGAAGCACCGGCUAACUACGUG
This 467-nucleotide ribosomal RNA is filed under the name uncultured bacterium. Its description in RNAcentral is "partial 16S ribosomal RNA". It matches the Rfam family "Bacterial small subunit ribosomal RNA", at positions 28 to 507 of the family's 1533-position model. The record is from RNAcentral.